Microcebus murinus (gray mouse lemur) is the source of this 291-nucleotide non-coding RNA. The record is from RefSeq and is a predicted model, not a curated record. Lineage: Eukaryota; Metazoa; Chordata; Mammalia; Primates; Cheirogaleidae.
GAAAAAUGAAGGCGAUGGCCAUGCUUGCAUUGCUAACGUCCGGUCCAGAGGAGUAGGCGGCCUAUGAUAUGUGAGACUGCUCAGGGAGGACACACCAAGGGCAAGAUCUGCGCAAGAUCAUUUUCACUGUUCUGUACACAGCAGACAAUUGUCACAAGACUUCAAGGUUUGAAAUAUUUCAUUUAAGAAAAGUUGAAUUCAACAUGGACUCUAAAUUGAAGAAAUCUACCAUCAGGAAGAUAAAAGAAGAGAACUCAUGAAGAACAAUAACAUAAGUUUGAAGGUACCAGG